GACUAUUCCUCAAUGUGGGACAGGGUUAAUGAGGGUUUAUACUGUUGAAACCUCCUGACUUCCUCAAUAUUCCUCAAUGUGGGACAGGGUUAAUGAGGGUUUAUACUGUUGGAAACCUCCUGACUUCCUCAAUACUCCUCAAUGUGGGACAGGGUUAAUGAGGGUUUAUACUGUUGGAAACCUCCUGACUUCCUCAAUACUCCUCAAUGUGGGACAGGUUUAAUGAGGGUUUAUACUGUUGGAAACCUCCUGACUUCCUCAAUACUCCUCAAUGUGGGACAGGUUUAAUGAGGGUUUAUACUGUUGGAAACCUCCUGACUUCCUCAAUACUCCUCAAUGUGGGACAGGUUUAAUGAGGGUUUAUACUGUUGGAAACCUCCUGACUUCCUCAAUACUCCUCAAUGUGGGACAGGUUUAAUGAGGGUUUAUACUGUUGGAAACCUCCUGACUUCCUGAAUAUUCCUCAAUUUGGGACAGAUUUCCGGUGUUUGAACUGUUGCACAGUCAGCACCUGCUGUUUUCAGAAGAGACUACAACAACUCAAAUGUAGCAUCUCUAGAUGAAACAUGAAUCCAAACGGUCAUUAAUGAUUUGCAUCUCCUUAAUCUGACCUUUGACUGACUGCUUUAUUCCAUUGUGACAGAUGCAAACUUAGCUCAGGCAAAAACAUUAAUGAUUUAAGUAAUCACUGAUAAUCAAAAGCGGUGAAGUAAGGAUUCAUACAUGCUGUAUAUAACCUCUCCCUCUUCCUCUCUCUCCCUCUUCCUC
Oncorhynchus keta (chum salmon) is the source of this 768-nucleotide long non-coding RNA. RefSeq lists it as uncharacterized. The transcript has 3 exons. The record is from RefSeq and is a predicted model, not a curated record. NCBI's taxonomy places the organism in Eukaryota, Metazoa, Chordata, Actinopteri, Salmoniformes, Salmonidae.